AGCUUUGCACAGUGGCAGUAUCAUAGCCAAAGAGGUUUGUCCGAGAUGCGAUUAUUGCUAAUUGAAGAAGAGGUUCUAUGAAAUUGGAAACAGAGGAGUCCAUCCAAGUGACCAACCUCCCUGGCACUCAAAGCGGUUGUUUCUGCAGUAUCUCUAAAAU
Molecule: small nuclear RNA, 160 nt
Filed under: Fukomys damarensis (Damara mole-rat)
Lineage: Eukaryota; Metazoa; Chordata; Mammalia; Rodentia; Bathyergidae
Description: U4 spliceosomal RNA (ENSFDAG00000003316.1)
Rfam family: U4 spliceosomal RNA (bases 1-69)
Source: RNAcentral